This 26-nucleotide non-coding RNA is filed under the name Homo sapiens (human). The record is from RNAcentral. Lineage: Eukaryota; Metazoa; Chordata; Mammalia; Primates; Hominidae.
UGCCAACAAGACUGGUUCUUUCGGAA